This 530-nucleotide ribosomal RNA is filed under the name uncultured bacterium. RNAcentral's name for it is "bacterial SSU rRNA". It matches the Rfam family "Bacterial small subunit ribosomal RNA", at positions 356 to 896 of the family's 1533-position model. The record is from RNAcentral.
GGGGAAUAUUGCACAAUGGGCGGAAGCCUGAUGCAGCAACGCCGCGUGCGGGAUGACGGCCUUCGGGUUGUAAACCGCUUUCGCCUGUGACGAAGCGUGAGUGACGGUAAUGGGUAAAGAAGCACCGGCUAACUACGUGCCAGCAGCCGCGGUGAUACGUAGGGUGCGAGCGUUGUCCGGAUUUAUUGGGCGUAAAGGGCUCGUAGGUGGUUGAUCGCGUCGGAAGUGUAAUCUUGGGGCUUAACCCUGAGCGUGCUUUCGAUACGGGUUGACUUGAGGAAGGUAGGGGAGAAUGGAAUUCCUGGUGGAGCGGUGGAAUGCGCAGAUAUCAGGAGGAACACCAGUGGCGAAGGCGGUUCUUUGGGCCUUUCCUGACGCUGAGGAGCGAAAGCGUGGGGAGCGAACAGGCUUAGAUACCCUGGUAGUCCACGCUGUAAACGGUGGGUACUAGGUGUGGGGUCCAUUCCACGGGUUCCGUGCCGUAGCUAACGCUUUAAGUACCCCGCCUGGGGAGUACGGCCGCAAGGCUA